GAAGAUUUUGGAGAGACCAUUCUAUGUCCGUAGUGGGUGUUCAGUUGAAGUCCUGGUGUCAUCGCUGCAAUUGGCCGCUGGGAGAAUGCUGCGGUCCUUCUUGACUUUGGUUGUAUUGCAGAUUUGGAACUGCCGCCCCGGGGAUUGUCAGGCGGACCCUUCAGAAAGCGUGAAGUUGAGGCUGGUGAACGGGGGCAGUCCAUGCACCGGGAGAGUGGAGGUUCACUACAGGGGGAACUGGGGGACUGUGUAUGAUCAAGGCUGGGACCUGCAGGACGCGGCGG
This is a long non-coding RNA of Amblyraja radiata (thorny skate), 284 nucleotides long. RefSeq lists it as uncharacterized. Lineage: Eukaryota; Metazoa; Chordata; Chondrichthyes; Rajiformes; Rajidae. The record is from RefSeq and is a predicted model, not a curated record. The transcript is spliced from 3 exons.